CCGAGUACCGGGUCUCCGGGCCCUACUCCCACCCUUUGUGUACCUACCAAACUUUUCGUUGCCUCGGCGGGGUCGAUCCCCAGGGCCCCUAACCGGGCCCUGCUGGGGGACCCGCCGGGGGGACACCACCUAAACUCUUGUCAACCGUGACGUCUGAGAAACAUAUAAAUAAUUCA
RNAcentral lists this unclassified non-coding RNA (176 nucleotides) under uncultured Ascomycota. Its description in RNAcentral is "sequence contains ITS1". The record is from RNAcentral. Lineage: Eukaryota; Fungi; Ascomycota.